RNAcentral lists this unclassified non-coding RNA (1467 nucleotides) under uncultured fungus. RNAcentral's name for it is "sequence contains 18S rRNA gene, ITS1, 5.8S rRNA gene, ITS2, 28S rRNA gene". The stretch from base 517 to 1467 matches the Rfam family "Eukaryotic large subunit ribosomal RNA", at positions 1 to 961 of the family's 3401-position model. The record is from RNAcentral. Lineage: Eukaryota; Fungi.
GGAAGGAUCAUUACUGAGUUAGGGUCCCAGGUGGCCCAACCUCCAACCCCUUGCGUACCGUCCAGAAGUGAAGUCUUCUGUGCUUGCGAGUGUUGCUUCGGUGGGUCGAGCACCUGCCGGAGCCCAACCCCAAAACCUAUUUUGAACCAUGUCGUCUGAGUCCCAGAUAUGAAAUUGUUAAAACUUUCAACAACGGAUCUCUUGGUUCCCGCAUCGAUGAAGAACGCAGCGAAAUGCGAUAAGUAAUGUGAAUUGCAGAAUUCAGUGAAUCAUCGAAUCUUUGAACGCACAUUGCGCCCCUUGGCAUUCCGGGGGGCAUGCCUGUUCGAGCGUCAUUGUCAAAUCCUCAAGCCUGACUUGGUGUUGGGCUCUCGCUCUCUGCUCCUGAAGGGGGGGGGCGUGCCCGAAAAUCAUUGGCGGUGCUUCGAUGGCCUCAAGCGUAGUGGACUUGCUCGCGCUUUAGAGUGUCCAUUGUGGGCUCACCAGCCUUGAAUGUGCUUUGUCACACAAGAAGCUUGACCUCGGAUCAGGUAGGGAUACCCGCUGAACUUAAGCAUAUCAAUAAGCGGAGGAAAAGAAACCAACAGGGAUUGCCUCAGUAACGGCGAGUGAAGCGGCAACAGCUCAAAUUUGAAAUCUGGUUCCCCGCAGGGGCCCGAGUUGUAAUUUGCAGAGGAGAUCUUCGGGUUUGGCCCCGGCCUAAGUUCCUUGGAACAGGACGUCACAGAGGGUGAGAAUCCCGUAUGUGGCUGGAGGUCUAUGCCCAUGUGAAGCUCCUUCGACGAGUCGAGUUGUUUGGGAAUGCAGCUCAAAAUGGGUGGUAAGUUUCAUCUAAAGCUAAAUACCGGCGGGAGACCGAUAGCGCACAAGUAGAGUGAUCGAAAGAUGAAAAGCACUUUGGAAAGAGAGUUAAAAAGUACGUGAAAUUGUUGAAAGGGAAGCGCUUGCGACCAGACUUGCCCCCGGCUGAUCAAUCGGUGUUCCUCACCGGUGCACUCGGUCGUGGUCAGGCCAGCAUCGGUCUGGGCGGUUGGAGAAAGGCCCCGUGGAAUGUGGCUCCCCUCGGGGAGUGUUAUAGCCCGGGGCGUCACGCAGCCAGCUUGGACCGAGGACCGCGCCUUCGGGCUAGGAUGCUGGCAUAAUGGUCGUAAGCGACCCGUCUUGAAACACGGACCAAGGAGUCUAACAUCUAUGCGAGUGUUUGGGCGUCGAAACCCAUGCGCGCAAUGAAAGUGAACGGAGGUGGGAACCCUGGAGGGUGCACCAUCGACCGAUCCUGAUGUCUUCGGAUGGAUUUGAGUAGGAGCAUAGCUGUUGGGACCCGAAAGAUGGUGAACUAUGCCUGAAUAGGGUGAAGCCAGAGGAAACUCUGGUGGAGGCUCGCAGCGGUUCUGACGUGCAAAUCGAUCGUCAAAUUUGGGUAUAGGGGCGAAAGACUAAUCGAACCAUCUAGUAGCUGGUUCCUGC